Molecule: ribosomal RNA, 449 nt
Filed under: uncultured bacterium
Lineage: Bacteria
Description: partial 16S ribosomal RNA
Rfam family: Bacterial small subunit ribosomal RNA
Source: RNAcentral
GAUGAACGCUGGUGGCAUGCCUAACACAUGCAAGUCGAACGAGAUCUUCGGGUCUAGUGGCGCACGGGUGCGUAACGCGUGGGAAUCUGCCCUUUGGUUCGGAAUAACAGUUGGAAACGACUGCUAAUACCGGAUGAUGACGAAAGUCCAAAGAUUUAUCGCCAGAGGAUGAGCCCGCGUAGGAUUAGCUAGUUGGUGUGGUAAAGGCGCACCAAGGCGACGAUCCUUAGCUGGUCUGAGAGGAUGAUCAGCCACACUGGGACUGAGACACGGCCCAGACUCCUACGGGAGGCAGCAGUGGGGAAUAUUGGACAAUGGGCGAAAGCCUGAUCCAGCAAUGCCGCGUGAGUGAUGAAGGCCUUAGGGUUGUAAAGCUCUUUUACCCGGGAUGAUAAUGACAGUACCGGGAGAAUAAGCUCCGGCUAACUCCGUGCCAGCCGCCGCAGUAA